AUUAUGAGCCAACGAAUCUUUUGUAAAAGCAAAAGUCAAUUGAAAAGUGCCCCGAAGAAGGAAUGGCAAGCAAAAGUCAUUGCGUGCUGACAAUCGAUUAGUGAAUGCGUUUUUAAAGAUCGCGCGUAAUGAUCUCACAAUGGCAACAGUUACGCUGAUUAGAAUGGCUUUCCAUCACGACUAAUGAGUAAUAGGCUGAAUGGUGUGUCAGUGGAACAAGGCAAACACUUCGAGGACAGCAGCUUAAUAAUUGAAAUGUCUCAUAUACAAGCACCUGCUACCUAUUUUUAGCUCUUUCUUAGCCGUGGGCAACACUAGUCCCAGACUCCGACCUUGAUCCAGAUGAAAACCCGCCCGUCGUUUCACUUCUCUUGGAAUCCAGAAUUUUCUAAAUCUUAUCCAUUUUCCUAUCCUAAAUUUUUUUAUGUAAUGACCGGUCACCAUUUGUAGGACGUGAAAUGACUCGCAGAAGUUCUCCAUAUGCAGGACAGACUGGUUUCUUGGAAAUUCAACAAUUUUUGUUUGAUGCUGUAGGCAGUUAACGGCAAGACUUGGCCCAUUCAACAACACAAAAUCGUGCUCUUAUAAAAUUUUGUCUGGUUUAUUUCAACUAAAAUUUAGUUUAAACUUACCUUAAUUCUAUUCCGAGAUUUUUAUAGUUCGGUAACAUUGUAAAGGACCAAAAAUGGUUGAGACAAACAACAACCAGCGUCCACGCGUAACUUUUCAAGUAAAACCAGAAAAGAAGAAGGGAUUGGCUUUGCUGAUUUAUGACUUGAAGCAGCCCAAACUGAUUCCAGUCAAGCUUUUAACUUUCAUCAUAUUAUCGGGUGUCGGAGUGCUAUUGCCGUUCACCACCAUCCAUAUGAAAUCGUUGGGACUAAGCUUCCAAGAGGUCGGCUCCAUCUACGGUGUUUCAUCGAUUGCAGCGAUUUUAUCUCCUUUUCUCAUUGGUUUGAUCGCCGAUAAACUUGGGAAUUUCAAGAUUCUGAUGAGCGCAGUACACGGCCUUCUUGCUAUUAUAGCGCUUCUCUUUCUGACAGUUCCAGCUGGAAAAACGUGGCAUUUUUACCCUGAAAACAUCACAUUUGCACUCGGUUGUUCGGACAGCAAGUCCGACUAUUUAAAUUCAGCGACUCUCACCUUAACGGAUCUCGACUCGAAUCCUUGCCACGUCCAAUCGAAUUGGAUCCGUGAAAAUUUAAACAAUUUUUCCGUGGCGCUAGAAGAGUGUGGUUACGUUUGCUACGACCAGCCGUCUGACGUGAUUAGGUCGGAGGCCAUUGAACUCAAUCAAGAAGUAGAUCCGUCGAUACCAAUUGUCGCUCUAAAAAAAGUUGUUUUGCCAAAAGUAGAAUUUCGCGAGGCUGUUUUCUUCCCAAACUACUGGAGCCUGGACACGACUUGCACUCCAACACGAUUUGGAGAAGAUGUUUGCGUUUUGAAUCGAAAAAAUGACAGUCAGACAACACAAGUGAACACGACCAUCGGAUUGGAUUUCUUCAGUGAAUCCGUGAACACCAAAGGAUUAUUCCCAGUGAAGUGGAUGGUAUUGGAAGAUGCCACUGGCAGUGAUCAAAAGCAGACAAAUUUCCAGUGUGGGACUUAUGGUGCAGAUGAGAAACUUCAUCAAACCGUCUACUUUAAAGAUUCGAACCAAGCGGACAACGAUCGAGCCGUCUACCAGUUCUGCCGGCCUCAGUGUAUCGUCCGGAUUAACCGCUUUGACUUGUGCCACAACAUGGUUCGAGAGGAAAUUUUUAAUCCACAGCUCACCUUCUGGCUCUACAUGUGUCUUCGAUUAUUCUUUGACAUUCUCCUCGGCGGAUUAGACUUGUUUGUCGGAGCUUCUGUGGCUUUGGUCGGCGAAUUAGGCGGGGAUUACGGUUUCCAAAGAAUGUUUGGAUACAUUGGAAUCGCUGUUUUUUCACCCAUCUCUGGGGUUUUGAUUGACCAAUUUAGUGAAGAUGAAAGUGUGCUUGGAAAUACCAGGCCGGCCUUCUAUUUGUUCGCUAGUCUUUUUGGAAUUGCUGCUGUUGGAAUGCUUACAAUCAACCUUGAUUUCAAACGUCCAGCAGAAAAUCUGCUGAGUGAUGUUUCAACAUUACUUAAAAACAUUGAACUGGAUAUAUUGCUUGUCGUCGCAUUUGUUUCCGGAAUCUGCAACGGACACGGGUUUUACUAUUUGUUUUUGUUCCUUGAAGAGAUUGGGGGCACUAGUUCUUUAAUGGGACUGUCUAGCACGUUCCAGUGUCUCACUGUGAUACCGUUGCUUCUUUUCUCCGACCGCAUCUUCCGUAAAUUGAGUCAUCCCAAUGUUCAAGUUCUCUGUUUUGCAGUUAACGUCAUCCGACUAAUCGGAUAUUCGUAUUUGCACAACCCGCAUUUGUGUCUCCUAUUCGAGUCGAUGGAUGCCAUUUCCUGGAAUUUUGCUCGCACUUCGCAUGUAGCCUAUGCCAACCAGUUAGGGACGACGUCUACUGUAGCUUCUAUCCAAGGAUUAUUGGGAGGACUCACCUUUGGAUUAGGAUUUGGUGUUGGGAGCUCUGGCGGAAGUUUACUAAUCGGUGCCUAUGGCCAGCGAGUGACUUUUCGCAUUCUGGGCGGCAUCUCCUUCGUUACAGGGCUAUUUUACUUUCUUUUCAACAUCUUUUAUUUACAUCCCAAAAAUACUGCGAGGAUUGACAGUGCAGUGAAUCGAAACGAGAUUAUUUCCGAAACAUCGUCAACACUCUCCCAUGAUAGUGGUUCUCGUUAGAAUAUGUACUUGGGUCAUCAUUUGGAUGAUUCAAAUCUAACCCAAUAAUCUAACUCCAUUGAAUUUAUUUAUUAGUCCCGAGAAUCCAACUUGCCUCGCAAUGUAUGAAUUACUAUCGUCUUAUACAUAUGCAAGUUUAAUGUCUUGAGUGUAUAGGGUGCCUUUAAUUUAUUUAACGAAAUUGUAAACGAUUUCACAGUAUGUAGUGGAAACCGGUAUUUAACUUUUGUUGUUAGGCAGUAGGAUGACUGCAAUUCUACAGAGCUCGGGUUAGAGACGAUAAUCUUUCGCGUCAAUCACAAGAUUCGCCGUCACUGCCUGUGUUGGCAUGGCCACCGAAAAUCCCAACCGGACACACCAGAUGCAGCAGCAUAAA
RNAcentral lists this unclassified non-coding RNA (3134 nucleotides) under Daphnia pulicaria. Its description in RNAcentral is "uncharacterized LOC124315177, transcript variant X1". Lineage: Eukaryota; Metazoa; Arthropoda; Branchiopoda; Diplostraca; Daphniidae. The record is from RNAcentral.